UAAUGUAUGGGGAUCUGCCCGAUAGAGGGGGAUAACUACUGGAAACGGUGCUAAUACCGCAUAAUGUCUACGGACCAAAGCAGGGGCUCUUCGGACCUUGCACUAUCGGAUGAACCCAUAUGGGAUUAGCUAGUAGGUGGGGUAAAGGCUCACCUAGGCGACGAUCUCUAGCUGGUCUGAGAGGAUGAUCAGCCACACUGGGACUGAGACACGGCCCAG
RNAcentral lists this ribosomal RNA (219 nucleotides) under uncultured bacterium. Its description in RNAcentral is "partial 16S ribosomal RNA". It matches the Rfam family "Bacterial small subunit ribosomal RNA", at positions 111 to 334 of the family's 1533-position model. The record is from RNAcentral.